This 222-nucleotide unclassified non-coding RNA is filed under the name uncultured fungus. Its description in RNAcentral is "sequence contains ITS1, 5.8S rRNA gene". The stretch from base 174 to 222 matches the Rfam family "5.8S ribosomal RNA", at positions 1 to 49 of the family's 154-position model. Lineage: Eukaryota; Fungi. The record is from RNAcentral.
UCUCCGUUGGUGAACCAGCGGAGGGAUCUUUACAGAGUACUUCGGUCCGACCUCCAACCCUUUGUGAACCAAACUUGUUGCUUCGGGCGCGACCCUGCCGCUUCGGCGGUGCGGCGCCCCCGGAGGCCAUUAAACACUGCAUCAUUGCGUCGGAGUUAAAGUAAAUUAAACAAAACUUUCAACAACGGAUCUCUUGGUUCCAGCAUCGAUGAAGAACGCAGC